This 398-nucleotide ribosomal RNA is filed under the name uncultured bacterium. RNAcentral's name for it is "partial 16S ribosomal RNA". It matches the Rfam family "Bacterial small subunit ribosomal RNA", at positions 523 to 918 of the family's 1533-position model. The record is from RNAcentral.
AUACGUAGGGUGCGAGCGUUGUCCGGAAUUACUGGGCGUAAAGAGCUCGUAGGUGGUUUGUCGCGUCGUCUGUGAAAUUCCGGGGCUUAACUCCGGGCGUGCAGGCGAUACGGGCAUAACUUGAGUACUGUAGGGGAGACUGGAAUUCCUGGUGUAGCGGUGAAAUGCGCAGAUAUCAGGAGGAACACCGGUGGCGAAGGCGGGUCUCUGGGCAGUAACUGACGCUGAGGAGCGAAAGCAUGGGUAGCGAACAGGAUUAGAUACCCUGGUAGUCCAUGCCGUAAACGGUGGGCGCUAGGUGUAGGGGUCUUCCACGACUUCUGUGCCGUAGCUAACGCAUUAAGCGCCCCGCCUGGGGAGUACGGCCGCAAGGCUAAAACUCAAAUGAAUAGGCGGGG